ACUGCUGAUGGAUUGAUACAGCAAUAUCAAAUCAGAGGCCAAAAGAUUCCAAAAGAAAGUUGACUCAUCAAUGAGUGGACAAAUUACUUUUAUUUUUCCAUUGCUCCUUCUCUCUUAUUUUUCAUUUAAGAGGACUGAAUGACCAAACCAAGUAUAUGAUGGACUGAAACAAUACUAAUAUUGACUGAGUAUGCAAGUGAGAGAAACUUGCAAUUCUCAAGAUAGGAGGCUAUCAGAACUUUAGUAUUCAAGAAAGUAAGGCAUAACCAAUUCCACCAAGA
RNAcentral lists this unclassified non-coding RNA (281 nucleotides) under Hevea brasiliensis (rubber tree). Lineage: Eukaryota; Viridiplantae; Streptophyta; Magnoliopsida; Malpighiales; Euphorbiaceae. The record is from RNAcentral.